GACGAACGCUGGCGGCGUGCUUAACACAUGCAAGUCGAACGGUAAGGCCCUUCGGGGUACACGAGCGGCGAACGGGUGAGUAACACGUGGGUGAUCUGCCCUGCACUUCGGGAUUAGACUGGGAAACUGGGUCUAAUACCGGCUACGACUCCUGGCUUCAUGGUUGGGGGGGGAAAGCUUUUGCGGUGUGGGAUGGGCCCGCGGCCUAUCAGCUUGUUGGUGGGGUAAUGGCCUACCAAGGCGACGACGGGUAGCCGGCCUGAGAGGGUGACCGGUCACACUGGGACUGAGAUACGGCCCAGACUCCUACGGGAGGCAGCAGUGGGGAAUAUUGCACAAUGGGCGCAAGCCUGAUGCAGCGACGCCGCGUGAGGGAUGACGGCCUUCGGGUUGUAAACCUCUUUCAGCUAUGACGAAGCGCAAGUGACGGUAGUAGCAGAAGAAGGACCGGCCAACUACGUGCCAGCCGCCGCCGUAA
This 478-nucleotide ribosomal RNA is filed under the name uncultured bacterium. RNAcentral's name for it is "partial 16S ribosomal RNA". It matches the Rfam family "Bacterial small subunit ribosomal RNA", at positions 28 to 523 of the family's 1533-position model. The record is from RNAcentral.